GAGCGGCCUAUCUCCUAUCAGCUAGUUGGUGAGGUAACGGCCCACCAAGGCGAUGACGGGUAGCGGGACUGAGAGGUUGGCCCGCCACAUCGGAACUGAGAUACUGUCCGGACCCCCACGGGGGGCUGCAGUAACGGAUAUUGGGCAAUGGGCGAAAGCCUGACCCAGCGACGCCGCGUGCGGGAGGAAGUCCUUCGGGAUGUAAACCGCUGUCAGGGGUAUGAAAGUCCACUUCGGUGGAUUGAUCUAACCCAGAGGAAGUCACGGCUAACUCUGUGCCAGCAGCCGCGGUAAGACAGAGGUGGCUAGCGUUGUUCGGUAUCACUGGGCUUAAAGCGUGUGUAGGCGGAAGCGUAAGCAUUUUGUGAAAUCCCUCGGCUUAACCGAGGCAUUGCUUGAUGUACUGCGUUUCUUGAGGCAGGUAGGGGUGCGAGGAACUCUUGGUGGAGCGGUGGAAUGCGUAGAUAUCAAGAGGAACGCCGGUGGUGAAGACGUUGCACUGGGCCUGUCCUGACGCUGAGACACGAAAGCGUGGGGAGCGAACGGGAUUAGAUACCCCGGUAGUCCACGCCGUAAA
Molecule: ribosomal RNA, 577 nt
Filed under: uncultured bacterium
Lineage: Bacteria
Description: bacterial SSU rRNA
Rfam family: Bacterial small subunit ribosomal RNA
Source: RNAcentral